RNAcentral lists this non-coding RNA (189 nucleotides) under chicken gut metagenome. The record is from RNAcentral.
CACCGUGAGGUGGAAUCUGAAGGAAGCCGGAUGUGGGAGAGAGACUAACCACGGGCAAACCUCUGGCCUGACGAACAGAAACCGCAUAGAAGGCUAUAUGCGAGGGUAAGGCUGCUAGACAAGUCAAAGCCCAAUAGCUGCACGGAAUCGCAUGUGGUAAAUGCGGCAGGUAGAUGGAGGGAAAGAAAC